GUGGGGAAUAUUGGACAAUGGGGGGAACCCUGAUCCAGCCAUGCCGCGUGUGUGAAGAAGGCCUUUUGGUUGUAAAGCACUUUAAGCGAGGAGGAGGCUACCGAGAUUAAUACUCUUGGAUAGUGGAUGUUACUCGCAGAAUAAGCACCGGCUAACUCUGUGCCAGCAGCCGCGGUAAUACAGAGGGUGCAAGCGUUAAUCGGAUUUACUGGGCGUAAAGCGCGCGUAGGUGGCCAAUUAAGUCAAAUGUGAAAUCCCCGAGCUUAACUUGGGAAUUGCAUUCGAUACUGGUUGGCUAGAGUAUGGGAGAGGAUGGUAGAAUUCCAGGUGUAGCGGUGAAAUGCGUAGAGAUCUGGAGGAAUAACGAUGGCGAAGGCAGCCAUCUGGCCUAAUACUGACACUGAGGUGCGAAAGCAUGGGGAGCAAACAGGAUUAGAUACCCUUGUAGUCC
RNAcentral lists this ribosomal RNA (451 nucleotides) under uncultured bacterium. RNAcentral describes it as "partial 16S ribosomal RNA". It matches the Rfam family "Bacterial small subunit ribosomal RNA", at positions 354 to 796 of the family's 1533-position model. The record is from RNAcentral.